AGCGAACGCUAGCGGCAGGCUUAACACAUGCAAGUCGAGCGGGCGUAGCAAUACGUCAGCGGCAGACGGGUGAGUAACGCGUGGGAACGUACCUUUUGGUUCGGAACAACACAGGGAAACUUGUGCUAAUACCGGAUAAGCACUUACGGGGAAAGAUUUAUCGCCGAAAGAUCGGCCCGCGUCUGAUUAGCUAGGUGGUAGGGUAAUGGCCUACCAAGGCGACGGUCAGUAGCUGGUCUGAGAGGAUGAUCAGCCACAUUGGGACUGAGACACGGCCCAAACUCCUACGGGAGGCAGCAGUGGGGAAUAUUGGACAAUGGGGGCAACCCUGAUCCAGCCAUGCCGCGUGAGUGAUGAAGGCCCUAGGGUUGUAAAGCUCUUUUGUGCGGGAAGAUAAUGACGGUACCGCAAGAAUAAGCCCCGGCUAACUUCGUGCCAGCCGCCGCCGUAA
RNAcentral lists this ribosomal RNA (451 nucleotides) under uncultured bacterium. RNAcentral describes it as "partial 16S ribosomal RNA". It matches the Rfam family "Bacterial small subunit ribosomal RNA", at positions 29 to 523 of the family's 1533-position model. The record is from RNAcentral.